GCUAGAGGAUGCAUACCAGAACAGUUCUGACAUACUUCAAAGCACUAUAUAUAUAUUUACACAGCGGUAUGUAGAGCGUGUUUUGGCAACUGAGGAGGAGAAAAUGAUGUGCUGCAGCAUUGAGUAUAUUCAUCCCAAACAGUCAUCACAGGCCUUUGUCUAUGGAGGGAUUCUUCUAGCUGGAUUUUUUGUAUACUUCAUUGUUAUUUUCUUUUCUUCACCAGUCCGCUGAAAGAAACAUGCGCCUGAAGAUUAGAGGCUUGUAGUGCUGAAUUUUUGAAAACUUAGAUAUGAUCGAAAGUAGUAAUACAAAUCUCGUUCUAA
Non-coding RNA from Phoenix dactylifera (date palm), 324 nucleotides. The record is from RefSeq and is a predicted model, not a curated record. Lineage: Eukaryota; Viridiplantae; Streptophyta; Magnoliopsida; Arecales; Arecaceae.